Molecule: ribosomal RNA, 520 nt
Filed under: uncultured bacterium
Lineage: Bacteria
Description: bacterial SSU rRNA
Rfam family: Bacterial small subunit ribosomal RNA
Source: RNAcentral
AGGACGAACGCUGGCGGCGUGCCUAAUACAUGCAAGUCGAACGGUCUUUCUAUGGAAGCUUGCUUCCACUGAGAAGAUAGUGGCGAACGGGUGAGUAACACGUGGGUAACCUGCCCAUAAGAGGGGGAUAACAUCCGGAAACGGGUGCUAAUACCGCAUAGUUUUCUUGAUCGCAUGAUCGGGAAAGGAAAGACGGCCUUUGUGCUGUCGCUUAUGGAUGGACCCGCGGCGUAUUAGUUAGUUGGUGAGGUAACGGCUCACCAAGACGAUGAUACGUAGCCGACCUGAGAGGGUGAUCGGCCACAUUGGGACUGAGACACGGCCCAAACUCCUACGGGAGGCAGCAGUAGGGAAUCUUCCGCAAUGGACGAAAGUCUGACGGGGCAACGCCGCGUGAGUGAAGAAGGUUUUUUCGGAUCGUAAAACUCUGUUGUCAGAGAAGAACAAGUUGGAGAGUAACUGCUCCAGCCUUGACGGUAUCUGACCAGAAAGCCACGGCUAACUACGUGCCAGCAGCAGC